Long non-coding RNA from Sapajus apella (tufted capuchin), 4024 nucleotides. RefSeq lists it as uncharacterized. The transcript is spliced from 2 exons. Lineage: Eukaryota; Metazoa; Chordata; Mammalia; Primates; Cebidae. The record is from RefSeq and is a predicted model, not a curated record.
GAGAGAGAACAAUUUGCAUGAACUCUGUGUAGCACAGUUUCUUCAUAUAUGAAUUUGCAAUGAUUCUGGGCAGGUGCUUUGAGACCUCAUUUGAAAAAUGUUUCCCUCUACCAAGUACCAGAGAUUAUGAUGGUAAUACUGUCAUUUUUAUUAGUCAAUCUGGUUUUAAUAUAUUAUAACAGUAUGGACCCUAUUAGCCAAGUACACGAUAAUAGCCUUUUACUACAAUACCCUAGGAUAUAAUAUUGUAAUGUUAUUAUAAUAUCUUAUUAUUGUGGUUCUACUAAUAAGGAUCUCACUUAUAUACACAUAGAGCUCUUGUAGUUUUAUAAUAUCAACAGAUGAGACUCUGCUGUUGAGAAUCUUAUCUAAAACGUGAUACCACAAUACCAGAAGGGAUAUUGACAAAAUAUGUCUGUGUAUUUGAAUUGCACAUUCCUAGUUUGAUUUAUUCUUACUGUGUAGCACGUUAUUGCCUGGAAUUCCAGAUGGUUCAAGUGCCUUCCAGACCUCCUCUUGCCUGUUUAUUCCAUUAAAUAGAAUAGCCAAAAAUAAGUAAGGCUAAUAUUAACUUUAGUGAAGAUAUUCCAGUGCCUUCCAGUACCCUAAAUAAUUCAAGAGGAUAUGAUGCAGUGACUAAGAACUUGGGCUCUGCAGUCAGGUUUACCUAAGGCUGAGUCUUAACUUUAUUUUUAUUUUGGAGGUAGGAUCUCCCUCUGUUGCCCAGGCCGGAGUGCGUUGGCAUGAUAAUGGCUCACUGCAGCCUCAAGCUCCUCGGCUCAGGGCAAGAGCUGGGCUAGUUUUUUAUGUCUUUCUGUGGAGACGAGGGUCUCAUUAGGUUGCUCAUGCUGGUCUAGAAUUCCUGGCCUCAAGCAGUCCUCCCAUUUCAAGCUUCUAAGGCACUGGGAUUUCAGGAGUGAGCCAUUGCACCCAGCCAUUAACUUUAUACUUAAACAUAACAUGUCACUGUGAGACUUUGUCUUCUAUUGUUCAAUGUCGUUACCUGUAAAAUGGGAUGAAUAACUGUAGCUACCCUGUAAGGUGGUGUGAGAAUUCAGUGAGAUAGUUCCUAUAAAGUACCUGGUGCCUAAUGCUCAAUAAAUGUUAACUGCAAUUAUUAUUACUAUUAUCUUAAAACAUUUGAACCCUGUGUGUGACGAAAUAUUCUUUGGCAAGGGACAGCUGGAAUGACUCUCAGGUAAAGAGUAGUAAAAGGGCUAUAAGUAGAGCAAUAAAAUGCAAAUGUAUGACCUCUGCUGCUUUCCCCAGAGCUGUAGAUCAUUCCAUUUGUUGAAAAAAAGAACUGGGUCUACUGCUGAACACAGUGUAACAAAUAUGACACAGAUAGAGACCCCCUUAAGGCGCCAUAUCUGUUUAUAGCCUAUUUAAAGAACAAAAAAUAGAUCUUUCUGUGGCACUUAAUCUGGCCGGGACACUCACAAUACCCGUUAGAAUGUGUGCUUAUUUCAUUGUUAUAAUAAUGCGAGUUCAAGUUCUCUGCUGUUUUUACGGAAGCCUCUAGGGGUAGAGGUGAGAGAAAGGAAACAGAAUUUAAAAUGCUCCGGGUUUAUUUUUAAAGGCAGUGACUCCUCUUGAAGAGUUUGAACAUUCAGGAAGACCAGCUGACAUUGAGCUGUCUACACUUUUCAGCUCUGUUUUAUUAGCUGCUGUUAAUGUUUUCCUUCCUCCCCAGCGAAGGUUCAUACUAGCGGUUCUCGAAUUCACAGCAGGGCUUGUCUAACCACACCACAUGCUGAGCCCAUCCCCAGACUUCCCAUUUAGCAGGUCCAAGGUGGGGCUGAAAAUCUGCAUUUCUAACGAGUUCCUGGGUGAUUGCGAUGCCCCUGUGAAUAUGCUGGUCAGGAAAUCACACAUUGCCAACUGCUGCUGGAUGCAGUUUGGAUCUCCCUCGAGCCCUUGGCCCAGAGUUGGGCACAGAGUAUGCACUCAAUAAAUACUUGUUGGUUCACUGUCUCUGAUGACGCCAAAAUGAAAUAUAAAAGGAAGAUAAAGUAUAUUAAGGUUCUCAUUAGGCACACAGCCUGAUUCUCAUUAAGAGUGUCCUGAUUUCUUUUAUGUCCUGGGCAUGUGGGCUCAGUGCUAAUUUUCAUGGCUUCUGUGGUCCCCAAAGUACCAGCUUUUUCAUCUACUCCAAGGUUCUCCUCAUUUACCCUUUAUUUUCCUGACUCAUUUCAGACGCUAAUAAGGGCCAACAGAACCCUCAGGACUCAUAUGGGAAUGAGGAUUCUCGUACCUCCCAAAGAGUUGUUGUAAAUCCCUUGUCUUUAAUCUUAUUUCACUCUCUGCUCGCCACCCUGUUAACAUAAAGCUUAAGCCCUUGGCUUGUUGCUUUAUUUUCUGAAAUUUUAAAUUUGAUUGAAACUGCCUCCACUAAGUUAACAUUUGAUUGAGUCACUGGGGAGAAAAAAAUUUACAGAGAAGUGAUAGAAAACAAAUUGGGCUUGUAGAGGAAGGAUUGUUCAGAAUUACUAUAUUGUCAAACCCAUUGUUUAUUUCCCUCACAUUUUCCUAGGUCUCAGCACUUGGGUGUUUCUUCACCAGAAAAGAAUUUUGGAGGUUGGUUGGGGCGAGGGGGAGGCGGUUGUUUUGCACAUCCUUUAAUCUCUUCCUAUUUAAGCAUUUUAGAGGAAAAUAAUGUUUUCCUUCAUGAAAACAGAUAAAAACAAUCUCUAAGUUUGCAUUUUAGUUCUUUACUCACAGCCAACCCAUGAGUUCAGUUUUGAGAUGAGUGUUUUCCAAAGUAGAGUCCCCGGAGGACGCUGGAAGACUGUUCUAUGGAUGAAAAGGACUCUGUGGCAAAAAGAAAGCAAGCUUGGUGAACACAGGUUUAAGCAAAGUUAAACAGAUGUCAACUUUCAAAAUCAUGGAAACAUCAGCUAGCAAUUGAAAGACGCAUUCAUAAUUGAAACAAGCCCAUGAAACCCUCUCUCCAAAUGUAACAGUCGUAUUCACCAGUUUGUUCUCUCUCAGGUUCAUUGUUUGGCCCACAUCUCCUCCCUUUAGCACUCCCCAAGAUUGUAUUCCAGUUAGCGAUACUCUGCCUGCAAUGUAGCUUUUCUCAGUCACUAGAAAAUGUCACAGUAUAGUUUGAACUGUGGAGGUUAUUAAUCUCUACAACACUGUCAAAGAAAACUGGGAGAGUUUUAUAGCUGUAGGUUAUUAACACUCUUGACAAUAGAAAAGUUGACCUUUCCCCCACCCCUUUGCCUUUAGGCUCUUGCCUCUGCUUUAAAAAUUGGCAGUGAACAGAAUAUGCAUUCUUAGCUUUCUCAAUAUUAUGUAUAUAAAAGUAGUGAGAGAUGAACCAGAUAUACUUGAUAAUCAGAUUGUUGGGUUAAUGAACAUAGGGUAUUGUAGUUUAACUUUUAAUUCCAGGGUGGUUAAUUGUGACAUUAAAUGUUUCAGUGCUGACCUCUACCUCACAUGUAAGAUAUAUAUUGACAUCUGGAAAGACUUAGAUCCACCUUCAUUUGACAGCACUGUCGCAACUGUUAAGAUCUACUAAGCUGUGAAAAUGCAUUCAUAAAACACCUACGGUAGAAUCUAAGAGCACAGUUUUCCUCUUUUCUCUUCUCGAGGGACAAUACAGACUUCAGCUUCGAACAUUACAGAGCACUGCCAUUUUCCGUUUCAGCCAAUCUGGUUCUUACUGACAGUAAUUAUAAAUGUAGGUGUAUGAAUUAGUUGCUUAAAAACUCCAAAGUGUGUGUACAUGCAAGUGCAUUACACAUAAAUACUCUGAGUGCAGAAUACCUAAUUUAAAUGAGUGACAGGGAGCACAACAUCAUUGGAAUUGUCAGGGAAACAGAAAUGUGGUGUUUUACAGCUCUGUCUUUGUCUGCAUGCUCCGUUCAUGUAUUAGAAGCCAGAGGAGCUUCAAAAUAUGUGCAGAAUUGAGUGGGAUCUUGGGCGUAACCUAUUACCAUGAAAAAUUGGCAAGAAGGAAAUCUCCUGUUUUCUGCAUGUUCUUAUGUAACUUUGAACAAACUGUUCUGUUAAAAAA